Molecule: small nuclear RNA, 103 nt
Organism: Equus asinus (donkey)
Lineage: Eukaryota; Metazoa; Chordata; Mammalia; Perissodactyla; Equidae
Source: Ensembl
GUGCUGCCGCAGCAGCACGUACACUAAAAUUAGAAAGAUACAGAGAGUAGCAUGUCUCCUGGGCAAGGAUGACUCGCAAAUUUCGGAAGCAUUCCAUAUUUUU